Molecule: ribosomal RNA, 423 nt
Filed under: uncultured bacterium
Lineage: Bacteria
Description: partial 16S ribosomal RNA
Rfam family: Bacterial small subunit ribosomal RNA
Source: RNAcentral
GAUGAACGCUGGCGGCGUGCUUAACACAUGCAAGUCGAACGGAGUGGCGAACGGGUGAGUAACGCGUGGGUAACCUGCCUUAUACAAGGGGAUAACAGAGGGAAACUUCUGCUAAUACCGUAUAGUAUAAGAUGGACCCGCGUCUGAUUAGGUAGUUGGUGAGGUAGAGGCUCACCAAGCCGACGAUCGGUAGCCGAUCUGAGAGGAUGACCGGCCACAUUGGGACUGAGACACGGCCCAAACUCCUACGGGAGGCAGCAGUGGGGAAUAUUGGACAAUGGGGGCAACCCUGAUCCAGCGACGCCGCGUGAAGGAAGAAGUCCUAAGGAUCGUAAACUUCUUUAGCGAGUGAGUCGUGAUGGGAGUUUAAAGUAGCUCGAGAAUAAGUAUCGGCUAACUCCGUGCCAGCAGCCGCGGUAAUUC